ACGUACGCUGGCGGCACGCCUAACACAUGCAAGUCGAACGAAGUAGCAAUACUUAGUGGCAGACGGGUGAGUAACAUGUAGGUAUCUGCCCUUUGGCCUGGAAUAACACGAGGAAACUUGUGCUAAUACCGGAUAAGUCUUUACGGAGAAAGCUUUAUGCACCAUUGGAUGAGCCUGCACUUGAUUAGUUUGUUGGUGGGGUAAUGGCCUACCAAGACUGUGAUCAAUAGCUGAUUUGAGAGGAUGAUCAGCCACAUUGGGACUGAGACACGGCCCAAACUCCUACGGGAGGCAGCAGUGGGGAAUCUUGCACAAUGGAGGAAACUCUGAUGCAGCGAUGCCGCGUGAGUGAAGAAGGCCUUUGGGUUGUAAAGCUCUUUCGUCGGGGAAGAAAAUGACUGUACCCGAAUAAGAAGGUCCGGCUAACUUCGUGCCAGCAGCCGCGGUAAUACGAAGGGACCUAGCGUAGUUCGGAAUUACUGGGCUUAAAGAGUUCGUAGGUGGUUGAAAAAGUUAGUGGUGAAAUCCCAGAGCUUAACUCUGGAACUGCCAUUAAAACUUUUCAGCUAGAGUAUGAUAGAGGAAAGCAGAAUUUCUAGUGUAGAGGUGAAAUUCGUAGAUAUUAGAAAGAAUACCAAUUGCGAAGGCAGCUUUCUGGAUCAUUACUGA
This 669-nucleotide ribosomal RNA is filed under the name alpha proteobacterium IMCC15109. RNAcentral describes it as "bacterial SSU rRNA". It matches the Rfam family "Bacterial small subunit ribosomal RNA", at positions 29 to 743 of the family's 1533-position model. The record is from RNAcentral. RNAcentral also lists the same sequence under 1 other name. Lineage: Bacteria; Pseudomonadati; Pseudomonadota; Alphaproteobacteria.